Molecule: long non-coding RNA, 383 nt
Organism: Mesocricetus auratus (golden hamster)
Lineage: Eukaryota; Metazoa; Chordata; Mammalia; Rodentia; Cricetidae
Exons: 3
Source: RefSeq, a predicted model, not a curated record
CUCCUCAAUUUGAAGGCAGAGAAGAAGCCAGCAGGAGAAGAUAAGCCCAAAAGACUACCAGGUACCUGUGGCUCAGGUCAAUCUCAGAAGAACCUGUUUCCCCAUGGCAUGCCACCGGUCUGUGAGAGGCAUAGUAAGAAGCCAUCAGGAUCCAGGAAGAAGUAUGAUGGUAUUAAGGACCGUGGGUUGCCAGAAAGCAAGCAACUCCAUACCCGUGAUGAGAUCAAUGAACCUGAAGAAGAAAAUGAUUAAUCAUAUUGUUGAAUGAACCCCCUGAUGUGAAGAAGAUGGAGGGCAUUGGGGAUCAUGGGCACAUGUCUUGUAACCUAAGCAACAACAAUCACAGGUGUAACUCAAAUGAAAAGACCAUUUUCAACCCUGAA